RNAcentral lists this ribosomal RNA (481 nucleotides) under uncultured bacterium. Its description in RNAcentral is "bacterial SSU rRNA". It matches the Rfam family "Bacterial small subunit ribosomal RNA", at positions 30 to 511 of the family's 1533-position model. The record is from RNAcentral.
AUUGAACGCUGGCGGUAUGCUUAACACAUGCAAGUCGAACGGUAACAGGCCUUCGGGCGCUGACGAGUGGCGGACGGUGAGUAACGCGUAGGAAUCUGCCUCAUAGUGGGGACAACGUGGGGAAACUCACGCUAAUACCGCAUACGCCCUACGGGGAAAGCGGGGAGUCUUCGGACCUCGCGCUAUGAGAUGAGCCUGCGUCAGAUUAGCUAGUUGGUAGGGUAAAGGCCUACCAAGGCGACGAUCUAUAGCUGGUCUGAGAGGGCGAUCAGCCACACUGGGACUGAGACACGGCCCAGACUCCUACGGGAGGCAGCAGUGGGGAAUAUUGGACAAUGGGCGCAAGCCUGAUCCAGCAAUACCGCGUGUGUGAAGAAGGCCCUAGGGUUGUAAAGCACUUUCAAUUGGGAGGAAAACCUGCCGGUCAAUACCCGGCAGCUUGACAUUACCUUUAGAGAAGCACCGGCUAACUCCGUGCCAG